Non-coding RNA from Caenorhabditis elegans, 71 nucleotides. The record is from Ensembl. Lineage: Eukaryota; Metazoa; Nematoda; Chromadorea; Rhabditida; Rhabditidae.
CUUAGGCUUAGGCUUUGGCUUAGGCUUAGGCUUACGCUUAGGCUCAGGCUUAGGCUGAGACUAUUUUUCUA